CUGGUCUGCGCUGUUGCCCUUCUAUUUAUUUACAUCCUUCUCUUCCUCACCCACCUCCCCUUGCUCCUCCUCUUCUUUCGUUUGCACUCGUAGCUUGAAGCUUCAGGGACUCGUAGUUCUGCAAGAUGAGUUAUUACAAUCAGGCACCUCCAAACUAUGGGGUACCCUACCCUGCACCAGGGUACGGGUACCCUCCAUACGGGUACCCUCCACAGGCGGGGUACCCUCCGCCACCGCCGGCAGGUUACCCUACGGGUGCCCCGCCACCGCAGUACGCGCAGCAGCCUCCACCUCCCCAGCAGCAGCAGGGCAGCCUUGGUUAUCUCGGAACAACUCUUUCGGGUAUUUGGUGCAUCAGUUCCUUCGUUAACUGUAUCUCCAAUCUGUCAUGCCUGUGCUGCUAACCAGGGAUUGCUACUGGCACGACGCGUUUGAGGUUGCAGUUGAACGCUUUCGUUUCUCCCAGUCCAUUUUUUUCGACUUUGUGUAAAUUAGAUGUGAUUAGACUUGAAGGCUUUGUACGUUCUAUCGUCUAUUGCAAUUUGUGUGUGUAGUAUGCAGCGUGAUGUAGUGAUUUUGUAAAUAUAUUCAUAUUAAUCUAAGUGCAUAGGUAGUCUGAAAAUGACCAACAAUGUUGGCAUAAAUAAAAACCACGGAAAUGUAAUGUGUAGAAUAGAUGUUAUAAGCCAAGAAAGAAUUAAACCCACCGAUUUUUAAAUCCCUUUGGUCAAUUCAAUCGGCACAUCAAAUUUUCUUGAUUUUUAUGUCUUGUGGUUUCCUACACAAGUACAAUGUAUAUUUUUAACCUUGAUUCAUUAAAUUUUGUAACACUUAGACCAAUCCAAUCAUCAUGUCUGGUUUCCAUAA
Nymphaea colorata (pocket water lily) is the source of this 867-nucleotide long non-coding RNA. RefSeq lists it as uncharacterized. NCBI's taxonomy places the organism in Eukaryota, Viridiplantae, Streptophyta, Magnoliopsida, Nymphaeales, Nymphaeaceae. The transcript has 2 exons. The record is from RefSeq and is a predicted model, not a curated record.